AGCGUACACGGUGGAUGCCCUGGCAGUCAGAGGCGAUGAAGGACGUGCUAAUCUGCGAUAAGCGUCGGUAAGGUGAUAUGAACCGUUAUAACCGGCGAUUUCCGAAUGGGGAAACCCAGUGUGUUUCGACACACUAUCAUUAACUGAAUCCAUAGGUUAAUGAGGCGAACCGGGGGAACUGAAACAUCUAAGUACCCCGAGGAAAAGAAAUCAACCGAGAUUCCCCCAGUAGCGGCGAGCGAACGGGGAGCAGCCCAGAGCCUGAAUCAGUAUGUGUGUUAGUGGAAGCGUCUGGAAAGGCGCGCGAUACAGGGUGACAGCCCCGUACACAAAAAUGCACAUGCUGUGAGCUCGAUGAGUAGGGCGGGACACGUGGUAUCCUGUCUGAAUAUGGGGGGACCAUCCUCCAAGGCUAAAUACUCCUGACUGACCGAUAGUGAACCAGUACCGUGAGGGAAAGGCGAAAAGAACCCCGGCGAGGGGAGUGAAAAAGAACCUGAAACCGUGUACGUACAAGCAGUGGGAGCUCGCUUAGGCGUGUGACUGCGUACCUUUUGUAUAAUGGGUCAGCGACUUAUAUUCUGUAGCAAGGUUAACCGAAUAGGGGAGCCGAAGGGAAACCGAGUCUUAACUGGGCGUUAAGUUGCAGGGUAUAGACCCGAAACCCGGUGAUCUAGCCAUGGGCAGGUUGAAGGUUGGGUAACACUAACUGGAGGACCGAACCGACUAAUGUUGAAAAAUUAGCGGAUGACUUGUGGCUGGGGGUGAAAGGCCAAUCAAACCGGGAGAUAGCUGGUUCUCCCCGAAAGCUAUUUAGGUAGCGCCUCGUGAAUUCAUCUCCGGGGGUAGAGCACUGUUUCGGCAAGGGGGUCAUCCCGACUUACCAACCCGAUGCAAACUGCGAAUACCGGAGAAUGUUAUCACGGGAGACACACGGCGGGUGCUAACGUCCGUCGUGAAGAGGGAAACAACCCAGACCGCCAGCUAAGGUCCCAAAGUCAUGGUUAAGUGGGAAACGAUGUGGGAAGGCCCAGACAGCCAGGAUGUUGGCUUAGAAGCAGCCAUCAUUUAAAGAAAGCGUAAUAGCUCACUGGUCGAGUCGGCCUGCGCGGAAGAUGUAACGGGGCUAAACCAUGCACCGAAGCUGCGGCAGCGACGCUUAUGCGUUGUUGGGUAGGGGAGCGUUCUGUAAGCCUGCGAAGGUGUGCUGUGAGGCAUGCUGGAGGUAUCAGAAGUGCGAAUGCUGACAUAAGUAACGAUAAAGCGGGUGAAAAGCCCGCUCGCCGGAAGACCAAGGGUUCCUGUCCAACGUUAAUCGGGGCAGGGUGAGUCGACCCCUAAGGCGAGGCCGAAAGGCGUAGUCGAUGGGAAACAGGUUAAUAUUCCUGUACUUGGUGUUACUGCGAAGGGGGGACGGAGAAGGCUAUGUUGGCCGGGCGACGGUUGUCCCGGUUUAAGCGUGUAGGCUGGUUUUCCAGGCAAAUCCGGAAAAUCAAGGCUGAGGCGUGAUGACGAGGCACUACGGUGCUGAAGCAACAAAUGCCCUGCUUCCAGGAAAAGCCUCUAAGCAUCAGGUAACAUCAAAUCGUACCCCAAACCGACACAGGUGGUCAGGUAGAGAAUACCAAGGCGCUUGAGAGAACUCGGGUGAAGGAACUAGGCAAAAUGGUGCCGUAACUUCGGGAGAAGGCACGCUGAUAUGUAGGUGAAGUCCCUCGCGGAUGGAGCUGAAAUCAGUCGAAGAUACCAGCUGGCUGCAACUGUUUAUUAAAAACACAGCACUGUGCAAACACGAAAGUGGACGUAUACGGUGUGACGCCUGCCCGGUGCCGGAAGGUUAAUUGAUGGGGUUAGCGCAAGCGAAGCUCUUGAUCGAAGCCCCGGUAAACGGCGGCCGUAACUAUAACGGUCCUAAGGUAGCGAAAUUCCUUGUCGGGUAAGUUCCGACCUGCACGAAUGGCGUAAUGAUGGCCAGGCUGUCUCCACCCGAGACUCAGUGAAAUUGAACUCGCUGUGAAGAUGCAGUGUACCCGCGGCAAGACGGAAAGACCCCGUGAACCUUUACUAUAGCUUGACACUGAACAUUGAGCCUUGAUGUGUAGGAUAGGUGGGAGGCUUUGAAGUGUGGACGCCAGUCUGCAUGGAGCCGACCUUGAAAUACCACCCUUUAAUGUUUGAUGUUCUAACGUUGACCCGUAAUCCGGGUUGCGGACAGUGUCUGGUGGGUAGUUUGACUGGGGCGGUCUCCUCCUAAAGAGUAACGGAGGAGCACGAAGGUUGGCUAAUCCUGGUCGGACAUCAGGAGGUUAGUGCAAUGGCAUAAGCCAGCUUGACUGCGAGCGUGACGGCGCGAGCAGGUGCGAAAGCAGGUCAUAGUGAUCCGGUGGUUCUGAAUGGAAGGGCCAUCGCUCAACGGAUAAAAGGUACUCCGGGGAUAACAGGCUGAUACCGCCCAAGAGUUCAUAUCGACGGCGGUGUUUGGCACCUCGAUGUCGGCUCAUCACAUCCUGGGGCUGAAGUAGGUCCCAAGGGUAUGGCUGUUCGCCAUUUAAAGUGGUACGCGAGCUGGGUUUAGAACGUCGUGAGACAGUUCGGUCCCUAUCUGCCGUGGGCGCUGGAGAACUGAGGGGGGCUGCUCCUAGUACGAGAGGACCGGAGUGGACGCAUCACUGGUGUUCGGGUUGUCAUGCCAAUGGCACUGCCCGGUAGCUAAAUGCGGAAGAGAUAAGUGCUGAAAGCAUCUAAGCACGAAACUUGCCCCGAGAUGAGUUCUCCCUGACUCCUUGA
This 2787-nucleotide ribosomal RNA is filed under the name Escherichia coli. RNAcentral's name for it is "bacterial LSU rRNA". It matches the Rfam family "Bacterial large subunit ribosomal RNA". The record is from RNAcentral. Lineage: Bacteria; Pseudomonadati; Pseudomonadota; Gammaproteobacteria; Enterobacterales; Enterobacteriaceae.